GAUGAACGCUGGCGGCGUGCUUAACACAUGCAAGUCGAACGAAGCGCUUAAGAUUGAUUCUUCGGAUGACGUCUUUUGUGACUUAGUGGCGGACGGGUGAGUAACGCGUGGGUAACCUGCCUCACACAGGGGGAUAACAGUUAGAAAUGACUGCUAAUACCGCAUAACCCGAUAGGAUCGCAUGAUCCAGACGGAAAAGAUUUAUCGGUGUGAGAUGGACCCGCGUCUGAUUAGCUAGUUGGUGAGGUAACGGCCCACCAAGGCGACGAUCAGUAGCCGGCCUGAGAGGGUGAACGGCCACAUUGGGACUGAGACACGGCCCAAACUCCUACGGGAGGCAGCAGUGGGGAAUAUUGCACAAUGGGGGAAACCCUGAUGCAGCGACGCCGCGUGAGUGAAGAAGUAUUUCGGUAUGUAAAGCUCUAUCAGCAGGGAAGAAAAUGACGGUACCUGACUAAGAAGCCCCGGCUAACUACGUG
This 479-nucleotide ribosomal RNA is filed under the name uncultured bacterium. RNAcentral describes it as "partial 16S ribosomal RNA". It matches the Rfam family "Bacterial small subunit ribosomal RNA", at positions 28 to 507 of the family's 1533-position model. The record is from RNAcentral.